Molecule: RNA transcript, 1485 nt
Organism: Coffea arabica (coffee)
Lineage: Eukaryota; Viridiplantae; Streptophyta; Magnoliopsida; Gentianales; Rubiaceae
Source: RefSeq, a predicted model, not a curated record
ACAACCACCGUAGUCCGGACACAGAAGCUUUCACCAAUAGAAAGUCCCUCCAUUUUUCUUUCUUCCCAUCUUUUGAUUUUAAUGGGUUCUUUUUAGCAAUGGAUAUAUCUGCAGAGGGACUAAGAUAGCUUACAACUAGAAGAAUCGUUAACUGAUACCAUUUUUGUAUGGUGCAAUCAAGAUAAUUGAGAGAAGCAGAGAUGAUUGAGCGUCAGUUUUGCUGUAAAUGGUGUUCAAGAUUGGUGAAAUAGUCUUGGACUCAUGAAAGUUGCCGCAUCACUUGCCAAAACUUCACUUGUCUUAUCAGCAUACAAUGGCUUUGCUGGUCCUGAUACUGGAGGAUAUGGAUUUUGCCAUUCCUACUACUCUUCCAAGAUUGUUGCCAAGAAAAGUAAGAAGCCUCAAGCUCCUUCACCUAAGGGCUCUGAGAUGCCACCUCCAAGAAUCACAACAAACUUGAAGCAGAAUUUACAGUUCUUAAGACUAUGGAAGGAGUUCCAAAAGAGAAAAUCAAACACACCUAAGCCUGCAACUAGUUACCGCAGAAAGAGGGCAGAGAAAGAGGAGAUUUUAGAAGAAGAAACAGAACUUUAUCGUGAUCCUACUUUGAGCCUUUACUACACAAACCAAGGCAUAGAAACAGCAGUUCCUGUUUUGCUUGUGGAUGGCUAUAAUGUCUGUGGAUAUUGGCCAAAAUUGAAGAAGCAUUUCACAACUGGCAGAUUAGACAUUGCUCGGCAAAAGCUUGUUGAUGAACUGAUUACAUUUAGCACGCUAAGAGAGGUGAAAGUGGUGGUUGUAUUUGAUGCCAUGAUGUCAGGGCUGCCAACACAUAAAGAGAGUUUUGCUGGCAUUGACAUGGUGUAUUCGAGUGAAACCUGUGCUGAUGCUUGGAUUGAGAAAGAGGUACAUCUUAUCUUGCCACUUGAGUCAGGUUGUAGCUUUGAGAGAGGAUGGCUGUCCAAAAGUUUGGGUUGUCACAUCAGAUCGUUCUCAGCAGCAUGCUGCAUAUGGAGCAGGAGCUUUUGUAUGGAGUAGCAAGGCUUUGGUGUCUGAGAUAAAAGCUUCGCAAAAAGAGAUGGAGAUGAUGCUCCGUGAACAUAGAUCGACUUCCAUGCAAGGUAAAUUGCUGAAGCACAAUCUUGAUGCAGAGGUAGUGGAUGCCCUCAAGGAUCUCAGAGACAAGUUAUCUGAAAAUGAGUCCCGAAGAUGACUUGUCCCCGUAAAAUGAUGUCCUUCACCUUGGCUAAAUUGCCAACAAAAUUAAAGCAUAUGCUGUCCAGUUAUCUGCCUGAAAAUAUAUUUCUCAGUAUUUCAGCACAGCCAUGUACAGCUUUUUGCCUGUGUUAUGUUAUCCUACCUCAGUCCCCUUCGCAACUCAGCUUAAAGCUGACAGCUUGCUUGUUCAACUUCUGUCUGUGCAAACUAUAUACUUUGUGGAUGACUACUCGAAAUGCGUAAAAUUUCACAAUUUGUUGCUCACAA